UACGGGGGGGACAAGCGUUGUUCGGAUUUACUGGGCGUAAAGGGCGCGUAGGCGGGCCUUCAAGUCAGAUGUGAAAACUCCGGGCUUAACCCGGAGCCUGCAUUUGAUACUGUGGGUCUUGAGUACAGGAGAGGAGAGUGGAAUUCCAGGUGUAGCGGUGAAAUGCGUAGAUAUCUGGAAGAACACCAGUAGCGAAGGCGGCUCUCUGGACUGAUACUGACGCUCAAGCGCGAAGGCUUGGGGAGCAAACAGG
This 253-nucleotide ribosomal RNA is filed under the name uncultured bacterium. Its description in RNAcentral is "partial 16S ribosomal RNA". It matches the Rfam family "Bacterial small subunit ribosomal RNA", at positions 524 to 776 of the family's 1533-position model. The record is from RNAcentral.